GUAUAAUACAAAUACAGUAAAGUCAGUCAUGAAAAAAAGACAAAAAACAGAGCACAGAUCACAUCAUGGAACAAUUCACGCAAGAAUAAAGUGAGUCAAUAAAAAUAUUAAAUUUGUCUGGGUUACACACUCCGAAUGUCACCGGAUGGUCCCAACUCCCAGUCCAAGAUUAUUUUUAAUAAUCCAGACUUGGGCAUGCAGUUUUGAUUUCAUGCAGAUUUGCUCUAAACAAAAGAAUUCCAGAGGUAAGCCAUUUUUUUGUUGUCAAUUAUUUUAUUGAAUUUGUAAAAUGUCUUUAUGUUCUUAUGUUGUUACGCUGGACCUCACGCAUUGUCAUCUGAUAUAAAGGGUUUACCCAAAAUUACUCUUCAUUAUACGUUUUGUUCUGUUUGUUUUUUGGUUUGUUAUUUUCUAUUCAAGGUCAGAGUUAGAGAUGUCGCGAAACAUGGAUGCUGUCCAGGAAGUAGGAGGGUCUGGAAGGGAGGGUCUGCUGGAGAUUGGCCGGGACGUGUUAGCUGACCGGAGUUCGCCGCGAACAGCUCGUGGCGAACCGUUCACGAGAAGUUCGCGGACGGUUCGCGACAUCUCUAGUCAGAGUUUGAUUGGUUAAAAUUUCAGAUAUAAUGCAAUGGGUAUUUUCAUGUUAUAGUAAACGUAUACAAUAUCACUUUGUGGGUUCUUAUUUUUUUGUGUGAUUUUUUAUACAACUUGUCCACAGCAUUUUCUAACACUUAUUUUCAGUGAUUGCCUUUUGUAUAACUCGUGUACUUAUAUAACUGACAAUAAUACCUGCCUUGAGCACAUUGGGGUAGUCAUAGCCUGUGGCUAGAUUAUUUGGAGAUCACGCGCCCCCUAUUGUUACCAGUCUCCUGUAUAAAGUGAGAUGCAUCAAUAGCUUAGCAACAUGCGUGCCUACUGGCUUCAACGCAUUGUGUUACUAUAGUGAUACAAGCAUUGUGCGUUGGUUUAAACAAAGAGCUUUAUAGUAGUAUCACAGAUCCCUAAUAAGGAACUUCCUUCUUACACAAAAUCCAACAUGGUUAUUUAUCUGUGUUUCCAUGUCAUAAAAUUAAUAGCGAUUACAAUAAACCGUAAACACAGAGAAGCAGACCACAGUUAACUCUUGAUACAUUAGAGAGUGAGAGAUUAUUCCUAUUUUGAGAGAUUGAUAGAAACGCUCCAUUUCAUACUGAGCGGUCAGAUACUUGAUGAGCACAUUAAGAUAUUUAACCCCUUAAGGACACAACUUCUGUAAUAAAAGAGAAUCAUGACGGAAUAUUUCCAGCGUGUGUCCUUAAGGGGUUAAGUAAAGUAACUUCUGUCCAAAACAAGCUAAGUGCAAGCGGGCUUACUGAAAAAAAACAACAUAAUGAUAAUAAUAACAAUAAUAACUAUAUUUAUAUGCAUCUGUCAAGCUAAGCAGGUUAUCUGUUUAUAGGAGCACUAUAAUGAAACAUUAUUCUUUGAUAUGAUAUAAACUUAAUUUAUGCUUUUUUUGUAAACUUGUAUAUGGCCCUUGUAAUUUAAGACAUAUUAGGGUAUUGUACAGACAGAAUCCAGCUUGGUAACCGUACAGAGGCUUACCCAGGGGGAGCACAAAGGCCAGCCCCACCCCAGCAGCCAGGGAUAUUUAGGGCAAAGAUGUGUGCAGUUAAGUUUCCCAGCCAGCAAAGUCUAGCUCCCUAGUGGUGUGAUAUAUGGAUGCCUACUGGAGGAGCGUAUGGGGUAAAUACAUUUUAAGCCGUUCUGUUUCCUCAAUAGACCUCCUCGGACAUUUCACUACAAUGGAGCUGAGUUGCAGCUGCAUGUAUGCAGAAACGAUGAUAAUUAUGCCACAAUUCACAGUGGGAGGCAUAAUCAUUUCUUGAUGGCGGGACUGUGAGAGGGUGAAAAUAGGUCUAAAAAAAAGAGAUGGAGCUGGAGUGGUGAGAGUGAAAGAGAGAAUUUGAAUGGAGAGAGAUGGAGCUCAGGUGGUGAGAGAGAGAGUUUAAAUGGAGAGAGAUGGAGCUGGGAUGGUGAGAGAGAGUGUUUGCAUGGAGAAAGAUGGAGCUGGGAUGAUGAGAAAGAGAGUUUGCAUGGAGAGAGAGGGAGCUAGGAAGUGAGAAAGUUUGAAUAGAGAGAGAUGGAGCUUGGAUGUGAGAUGGAAAGUUUGUAUGGAGAGAGAUGGAGAUGGGGUUGUGAGAGAGAGAGAGUUUGUAUGGAGAGAGAUGGAGCUGGGAUGGUGAGAGAGAUAGUUUGUAUGGAGAAAGAUGGAGCUAGGAUGGUGAGAAAGAGCGUUUGCAUGGAGAAAGAUGGAGCUGGGAUGGUGAGAAAGAGUUUGCAUGGAGAGAGAGAGUUUGUAUUUUGAGAGAUGGAGCUGGGAUGUGAGAUGGAGAGUUUGUAUGGAGAGAGAUGGAGGUGGGGUGGUGAGAGAGAGUGUAUAGAGAAAGAUGGAGCUGGGGUUGUGGGAGAGAGUUUGUAUGGAGAGAAAUGGAGCUGUAGUGGUGAGAGUAAGAAUUUGAAUGGAAAGAGAUGGAGCUGGGGUGGUGAGAGAGAGAGUUUGAAUGGAGAGAGAUGGAGCUGGGGUGGUGAGAGAGAGUUUGUAUGGAGAGAGAUGGAGCUGGGGUGGUAAGAGAGUUUGUAUGGAGAGAGAUGAAGCUGGGGUGGUGAGAGAUAGCGUUUGUAUGGAUAGAUAUGGAGCUGGGAUGGUGAGAGAGAAUAAACGUUUCAUGGGGAAAGAAACAUAUGGUUAGGAAGGGAGAAAGAGAUGGAGCUGGGAUGGUGAGAGAGAAUAAACGUUUCAUGGGGAAAGAAACAUAUGGUUAGGAAGGGAGAAAGAGACAGAUGGGAAUGGGGAAGAAAAGGCUGGUAAAGAUGAGGAGGGUGUCAAAGAGUGAGGUAGAGAGAAAGAAAUGAGUCUAGAGAAGAAUGAUCACUUUUCCUGGUUGAAGAAAAUUAAAUCAAAAACAUCAUAUUCAAAUUAUGAAUUUUAAGGAAAAGCAUCUCUGAACCUGGUCUCAAAGCUCAUGCAAGGUCAAGUCUUGUUUUUUAUGAUUAUGGUUCACCAAGUACUGAACUUAGUCUAUGCUCUUUAACAUAUAGACCUUUUUGUGCUUAGAGGAGGAUAUGCACCAAGUCUAUGGCUCUUUGUGGACAGGUAUAUCCACCCAAUUUAGGUCAACAACAGCUGAUUUGGAAAAAAAAAUCGUAAACUCGGCAAUAGCAACAGUUGGGUAACUUUAGUGUGAAUUUUGCAAUUUAGUUUUUAAAUCAUUAAUAUUCACUCCUUAGUACAGGUUUGCUUUGACGUGGCAGGUGAGCUUACACUUAAAUGGCCAUUGGAGUAAUACUAAAAAGCCUCCAGUUAUUUAAAUGUGUAUAGGCAUUUGGGAAAGAACACAGGUUAACUUUUUUAUUUUUUUAUUUCUACGCAUGGCAGAAUACGUUGGUGCUAUUUGAAUAUAAUAUUGAUAUACACUGAAAAAGUAGCGAUUACAAGUUACAUUUUCCAUCUAACCACGGCGAGUGAAAAAAGAACAUUUCAAAUUUCUAGCCACCUUACUAGUACUUUAGCACAAUGUCUGCCAAAGAUUCUUAUAGUUACUGUUCAAUUAGAAUUUUUAUGUUCUUAACCUUUCAUUACAGGAAUUGCCAUUUAUUAAUUGCUUCAGUAAUAAACUGGAAAAUAUGACACGGCGGGGUGUGUAAUUAUAGGAAGAUAAUUGUACAGCACAAAUGUGUUGCCACUCAGUACUUGUAAUUAGUUCUUGACAUACCUAGAGUGAUUUAAAGCUUAUAUUAUAAAUGGCAAAAAAGUAAAUUCUUAAUAAAAUGUUUCUGUUAUACAAAUGAAUCCCCACUAUCCAACAAAAUGAAUGUGCUUAUAUGUGUAGCCUUAAUUUAAUCUUAUAAGUGGAAGGACGGUGUAAUAUAAAGAUAAUUAUUUUAAUAUUCCUGAGCAAAAUAACUUGUUUUCUUUUCAAUGUGUGCACAAUUUGUUUCCCACUUUUUCAAAAAGUUUUUAAUUCUUUAUUUAUUGAUCCUCAUUCUCACAAAUUAUGAGGAUGCCGUUAUAGGAUAAAGACCGCCGUACAGGUAUUACAACACAUGGCAAACAUAACAAUAUAAAAUAAACAGUCUCAGUGUCGAAAGUGAGAUGAGGUUUUUAAUUUUUUUUUAUGACUGUGGUACUAUCAGCUCGGUUCAGCCUGCUAGGGUUGAUGUAAAUUCAGCUUGACUAGGGCCUUUAAUGCUACCCUUGCGUAUUAGGGCCAACCAGCAGGGACAAGAUGGAAUUGGUUAGGGAUUAAGGCUAGUGGAACCCUACUUAUGGUUCUCAGUCCUCCAAUAACUAGGAGACUACAUACUAAGAGGAGUAACGACUCGGCACAUUUAAAAUAAUAGGGCCCUCAACGAGGCUCAAAUCUGAUUACGGAGUGCACAUUUGCAUUACCAGAAAUGUAAAAAACUUUUUUAACUAAAAGAAAUCAGAAACUUCUACAACACUUCUAAAACACUAAUAGGUAAGUGUGUUUAGGUAGUCCGCAAUCGACCUCAGGUUGUGGCUGCAGCAUAAGCAUCGGACUCAGACCACCAGGGAACAAAUGGGAUGAUGGUCACCGGGUCCCAUCUGUGCUUUUCUGUUGGCUUUUUCUUGUGUCCAAGAGGUGGCAGGGAGCCUUGCGGGAGGCCAAGGGUCCCCAGAAGUGCGUGCAUGUCCAUCAUGUCCUGGAUCUUGUAGGAGGUAUUGUUGUGGGUGACCAGCAGGAUCCGGGAUGAAUGCCAGCUGUAGCAUAUGGUACGCUCUUGCAGUAGGGAGGUUAAGGGGUGGAACGAUUUCCUUCAGAACAGCGUGCCUCCUGAGAGAUCUGUGUAGAAUGUGAGUGUCAUGUUCUCAAAGGUGUAUUGGGGAGUCCCCUUUAGUGCGGACUGCAUCGCAGCCUUGUCUUUGUUUUGCUGGAAACGCAUCACCAUCUCUCUUGUAGCUGUUUCUGGUGCUUUCUUCGGUUUAGGGAUGCGGAACACUCCAUCCAGUACAAUAUUCUUGGCCGGCUUUGGGGAUAGCAGUGUCACCAGCAGGCGCCGCACCAAAUGUGGGAGCUCCUCUGUCGGUAUCUCUUCUGAGAUGCUCUAAUCUUCAGCAUUUCACUUCAUUCAAAUAGAACUGAACGCUAGCUCCCUGUCGGCCAUUCGCAUGAACCAAACCCACGAAUGGUCAUCAGCGGUACUUUGCCACGAAUGUUAUGGAACUGUUUUUGGCAUGAGGUGACUGUGCGGUUCCUGGACAAACUUGGUCCGUGGUUUUGCACCACUUUGAGACCAGGAGAGCGCUUUUUGGAGGGAAGGUGUCUGAGACUAAGGGGAACAAACGCUACCUGAGAGCCAGGUGGAGCACCCUGUAUUUUGGACGCAGGAGCCCUACCCCCAUCCCACCUCCUUGAUGAUUUUAGCCAAACCAAUACUUUCCCUAUAUCACUUACUGCAUCCCAACCAUGCACACUGCAUGAGAUGAUUAACCCCUUAAGGACCAAACUUCUGGAAUAAAAGGGAAUCAUGACAUGUCACACAUGUGAUGUGUCCUUAGGGGGUUAAAUUAAUACAAUACCUCUUUAAGUAUAUUUAAUAAUCAUUUCUA
This 5614-nucleotide long non-coding RNA is filed under the name Pelobates cultripes (western spadefoot toad). The record is from RNAcentral. Lineage: Eukaryota; Metazoa; Chordata; Amphibia; Anura; Pelobatidae.